UCAUGGAUACACAACGAUUUGAGAAAAGAAGAUCAUUACAGAUAAGCAAACUAUUGAUUCCAGCUUAAUUUGUCUGUUCAUUAUUGAUAUUUGGGCAACACUGACAAGGCAAUAUUCAUUUGCUUGGCAGGAUUGGCUAGAGCAGGAGGAAGAGCACCACAUGGCACUGUAGCUGACUGUGAGCAGAGGAGCUGAGGAUUGAAGAGGAAUGAAUAGCAUUUGAAAGUAAAGAUUCUAUGACACAAUAAAGACAACAAGGAACUUUUUCACCAGCCUUGCUGACAAUUUACUCCACCCACACAACCAAAAAAAAACCCAGUCAACAGAUGUCAUGGAACACAGGACAUAGGGAGAAGAAUAGACCAUUCAGUCCAUCAACCUGUUCCAACAUUGAAUACCAUCAUGGCUGACUGGACACUCAAUGUCUUUUACCCACAUCAAUCCCAUGAUCCCUUUUGCCACUGAAAAUCAAAAAUGCAUCAACUGCCACUUUAAAUUUUCUCCAAGAAUCAUGAGUGGUAUAGAUAAGCUGGUGUCUUUUCCCGAGGCUGGGGAUUUCAAGACUAGCGGGCAUAUUUU
Molecule: non-coding RNA, 579 nt
Organism: Chiloscyllium plagiosum (whitespotted bambooshark)
Lineage: Eukaryota; Metazoa; Chordata; Chondrichthyes; Orectolobiformes; Hemiscylliidae
Source: RefSeq, a predicted model, not a curated record